UAUUGGACAAUGGGCGAAAGCCUGAUCCAGCCAUGCCGCGUGUGUGAAGAAGGUCUUCGGAUUGUAAAGCACUUUAAGUUGGGAGGAAGGGCAGUAAGUUAAUACCUUGCUGUUUUGACGUUACCGACAGAAUAAGCACCGGCUAACUCUGUGCCAGCAGCCGCGGUAAUACAGAGGGUGCAAGCGUUAAUCGGAAUUACUGGGCGUAAAGCGGGCGUAGGUGGGUUGUUAAGUUGGAUGGGAAAGCCCCGGGCUCAACGUGGGAACUGGAUCAAAAACUGGCAAGCUAGAGUACGGUAGAGGGUGGUGGAAUUUCCUGUGUAGCGGUGAAAUGCGUAGAUAUAGGAAGGAACACCAGUGGCGAAGGCGACCACCUGGACUGAUACUGACACUGAGGUGCGAAAGCGUGGGGAGCAAACAG
RNAcentral lists this ribosomal RNA (421 nucleotides) under uncultured bacterium. RNAcentral describes it as "bacterial SSU rRNA". It matches the Rfam family "Bacterial small subunit ribosomal RNA", at positions 362 to 775 of the family's 1533-position model. The record is from RNAcentral.